GGGCCCGCACAAGCGGUGGAGCAUGUGGUUUAAUUCGACGCAACGCGAAGAACCUUACCUGGGCUCGAACGGCCUCUCAACGGCGGUGGAAACAUCGCUAUCCCGCAAGGGAGUGGGGUCGAGGUGCUGCAUGGCUGUCGUCAGCUCGUGUCGUGAGAUGUUGGGUUAAGUCCCGCAACGAGCGCAACCCUUGUCCUGUGUUGCAACCCGAAAGGGGCACUCUCAGGAGACCGCCAGCGAUAAGUUGGAGGAAGGUGGGGAUGACGUCAAGUCAUCAUGGCCUUUAUGUCCAGGGCUACACACGUGCUACAAUGGGCGGUACAAACCGACGCCAACCCGCGAGGGGGAGCAAAUCGGAAAAAACCGCUCUCAGUUCGGAUCGCAGGCUGCAACUCGCCUGCGUGAAGCUGGAAUCGCUAGUAAUGGUAUAUCAGAACGAUACCGUGAAUACGUUCCCGGGCCUU
Molecule: ribosomal RNA, 464 nt
Filed under: uncultured bacterium
Lineage: Bacteria
Description: bacterial SSU rRNA
Rfam family: Bacterial small subunit ribosomal RNA
Source: RNAcentral